RNAcentral lists this ribosomal RNA (261 nucleotides) under uncultured prokaryote. RNAcentral describes it as "partial 16S ribosomal RNA". It matches the Rfam family "Bacterial small subunit ribosomal RNA", at positions 524 to 784 of the family's 1533-position model. The record is from RNAcentral.
UACGGAGGGUGCAAGUGUUAUUCGGAAUCACUGGGCGUAAAGAGCACGUAGGCGGAUAGGCAAGUCAGAUGUGAAAUCCCGGAGCUCAACUCCGGAACUGCAUUUGAUACUGCCUGUCUUGAGUGAGGUAGAGGGGAGUGGAAUUCCCGGUGUAGAGGCGAAAUUCGUAGAUAUCGGGAGGAACACCAGAGGCGAAGGCGACUCCCUGGGCCUCUACUGACGCUGAGGUGCGAAAGCGUGGGGAGCAAACAGGAUUAGAUA